GAAAAGCAGGAAAGGGAGGGCGGAGGCCUCAGCGAACAUGGCCGAGGACGAAGAAGAGAACUCGCAAGCCCGGCAACGUCUGCAGGAAUUGGUUGACCACCUGUAUCAUUUCCGAGAUCAUUAUUUUGAGAAUCACAGUGUGGAAGAUGCUGGGAAAAAACAACAGGAUGUUCAGGAAGAGAUGGAGAAGACUCUUCAAAAAAUGGAAGCCAUAGAUGGCCUCUCAGAAGGGCAAGCUUACACAUUGAUGCUUAAAGGAAAAGCUUUGAAUGUAUCAGCAUACUAUAACGCCCAGUCUGAAAAAUUGCUCUCCAAAGCGGUCAAGCUGGACCCGGAAUUGGUGGAAGCGUGGAAUCAAUUAGGCGAGGUUUACUGGAAAAAGGGUGAUGUCUCGGCAGCUCAUACCUGCUUCUCCGGAGCGCUUGGCCAUUGUAAGAACAAAGGCUCCUUGCAGAACCUCUCCAUGGUGUUACGGCAGCUGCACACCACUUCUCCUGAUGAACAUGUACAAAACGUGAUGGACAGCGUGCGGCAAGCCAAACUGGCUGUGCAGAUGGACGUGCACGACGGACGCUCUUGGUAUGUGUUGGGCAACGCCUACCUCUCCUUGUUCUUCAAUACAGGACAGAACCCCAAGAUCUCUCAGCAAGCACUGAGUGCCUAUGCUCAAGCAGAAAAGGUGGACUCCACUGCUUCUUGUAAUCCAGAUUUGCAUCUCAAUCGAGCCACGCUUUUUAAGUAUGAAGAAAACUACAUGGAAGCCCUGGAGGGUUUUUCACGGGCCGCAGCUCUUGACCCGGCUUGGCUGGAACCUCAACUACGGGAGCAGCAACUCAUGGAUUUCCUUGAGAGACUUAAUGGAUUCCUGGAAAACAAGGGCAAGGUGAAAGGCAAGAAGCUGCAAAACAUGUUGGGAAGUCUGCAAAGCUCCCACCUGGGCCCGUGUGGUGACGGACAUUAUCAAGGGCCUUCAGGUCAGAAGGUAGAACUACAGAGACGAUCCCUCAGUGCCUUGCAGCCUGGUGUUAACACGGGUACUGUGAUCUUGGGGAAGGUGUUGUUCAGCCUGACUACUGAAGAAAAAGUGCCUUUCACCUUUGGAUUGGUGGACUCUAUCGAAGGCCCUUGUUUUGCUGUCACUGUUUACAACAUGGUCCAAAGCUGGGGUGUCCUAAUUGGGGACUCGGUGGCCAUCCCUGAACCUCAUCUUCGACACCAUCACAUCCAACACCAGAACAAAAGUUUUACUUUUUCUAGCCUCCGCGUAGAUACUCCUCUACUUCUUGUGGUGAAUGGCAGAGUGCAAAGAUCCCAAAACCAGGCCGCUGCGACCAUUGCCUACCACGCACAAAGUGAAUGAGAAGAGAGAAAGGGCAGGGAUGCCCAGAUUUUUAGGCUACGUCAGUUCCUUCUCCUCGUACCGUUUUCAGUAAUUUAGAGAGGUCGGACCGAUUUGUAGAAAUACAAUCCAGUCGUUAAGUGAAGGAGUGAGAAAAAAGAGAAUUGUAGAACAUUUGCUCAAACUGGUGCUGAAUUCGCAUCUCUUUUGGUUUGUAUUCCCCCCCAAAUUUCUUUUCCAUAGACACUGGUGUCUGUUUUACUUUCAGUUGUUCUAAAAUGAGUGUCUACAGAAAAUCUGGGGGCUGCUCAAUUUUUAUUCCCCAUCUCUUUAACUUUCUCCCCCCCUUUUCUGACCUCUUCUUUCACAUUUGCUCUUGCUUUGCUUCAAUCGCA
Notechis scutatus (mainland tiger snake) is the source of this 1734-nucleotide non-coding RNA. NCBI's taxonomy places the organism in Eukaryota, Metazoa, Chordata, Lepidosauria, Squamata, Elapidae. The record is from RefSeq and is a predicted model, not a curated record.